GAUGAACGCUGGCGGCGUGCCUAAUACAUGCAAGUCGAGCGAACGGACGAGAAGCUUGCUUCUCUGAUGUUAGCGGCGGACGGGUGAGUAACACGUGGAUAACCUACCUAUAAGACUGGGAUAACUUCGGGAAACCGGGGCUAAUACCGGAUAAUAUUUUGAACCGCAUGGUUCAAAAGUGAAAGACGGUCUUGCUGUCACUUAUAGAUGGAUCCGCGCUGCAUUAGCUAGUUGGUAAGGUAACGGCUUACCAAGGCAACGAUGCAUAGCCGACCUGAGAGGGUGAUUGGCCACACUGGAACUGAGACACGGUCCAGACUCCUACGGGAGGCAGCAGUAGGGAAUCUUCCGCAAUGGGCGAAAGCCUGACGGAGCAACGCCGCGUGAGUGAUGAAGGUCUUCGGAUCGUAAAACUCUGUUAUUAGGGAAGAACAUAUGUGUAAGUAACUGUGCACAUCUUGACGGUACCUAAUCAGAAAGCCACGGCUAACUACGUG
This 497-nucleotide ribosomal RNA is filed under the name uncultured bacterium. RNAcentral's name for it is "partial 16S ribosomal RNA". It matches the Rfam family "Bacterial small subunit ribosomal RNA", at positions 28 to 507 of the family's 1533-position model. The record is from RNAcentral.